UCAGUCAGCCGUCUCGGCUCUCGGCGUGCAGAGAGAAUUUUUGUCUGAAAAGAAAUCCGUAUUUUUUUGUCGUUUGUCUCGUCUCUUUGACGUCUACUUGCCCGUAAUUUUUAACGAUCGGGUUGUUCUCUUCGCGAUUUAGCACACAUCACACAUAAACUGCUCUAAUAUAGCAGAAAUCGCAAGUUAAAAUUCCUCUCUGCUGCAAAAUCAACGAUCGAAAUUCAAGAUAUCGGCCUCAACUGGAAUGGCUUCUACAAAUUCGGCAGUUUGAAAAGCAUCUGAAGCAACGAGAAUUCCACUAAAUCAAUUUGUAAGAAUUGAUAAUUAAAAUGGCUGAAGUUGUAGCUGAAAAUUGGAACGAGAUGUUUCUUAAGAUGAAGAAGUCUUUGGAAGGAGCAAUUUUCAUCUCCAUCGACAAUGAAUUUUCUGGUCUACGAGAUAUGAACGCAAGUACCCGCAUUUCUGGACUCUGUAGAAGUGGAGACCAUCGUCCUGACGAAUACCGCGGUUCCUCGAGGCAUCGCGAAAAUCCAUCCUCGUCGUGUUUGCAGUUCUCUUCUAGAUUUCUCUCAAGGCUUUUCGUCUUGACUCUGGGCAGUGUUGCUGGCUGCGCGUGACGAAUUUGAAUUUUCAACCGCAAAUGGUAAUAAUUAUUUAAACGACACCUUUUAUGCGACGAUGAAUUGAAGACCCUCUCGGGCCUCUCGCCACCCCCUGUGCAGUGGAAACCCUGAACAGGAAUAAUUUAUCGUUUUAACAAAAAAAAAAAAUGAAUGAAAUGUUUACUUUUCUUUAGUGAUAAAUUUUAAACAGAAAAGGAGUCUGCGCGAAGCAGCAAACUGUACCGCCAAGUGAAUUGGGAGGUUAUAUUGUUAGAGAGUUUAGUUGUGGCACGCCUACAGCGUUCAUUUCAAUAAAUUACAUUAUACAUAAAUUUUAAUUUUAUAUAUUAAUUUUUUUUUAAUUUUAUUUUUUUUAUCAAAGUUGGUUUUUGCGUAUUAAGGUAAAUAAAGAAAAUAAUCAUAAAAAUAAUUGGCGUAAUUGGCGCAAACCCUUUUAUAUCUUACAAUUUUAGGUGCAUGUGAGAAUUUGAAGAAAAAAAAGCAAUUAUUUAUUUUUUAUCCACAUCAGAUGAUUGCGUGUGCCACACAGCCAUAAAGCUGAGUAAAAGGAAAUCACUGACGAAAUUGGUGCAUAGUUUGUUAUGGUUAUGCCGCUAAAUUGUUGUGUAAUUGCAAAGUUUUAAGGACUUCAUAUUGAUAUAGUCAAAUCAAGUCUUUGCAACAAUAGAAGCAAUUUUUUGCAAUUAUUGUAAAUUUAACAAACCAGUCGUAAAGACUUGAUUUGACUAUAUCUAUAAGAAGUCGUUAAAUGAGUGAAUACCACAAGUUUUUUGUGUCUCAAUAAUAUAUUUUUGAUUAAUUGCAAAUAAUAUUCAGCAUUAUUUCAGUUAUAAUUCCCUUCAAUAAAAAUCGAAAAUGAAAAUAUAAAGCAGUGAGGGAAUAAAACUGCUUAUAAUAUUUCAGUAAUAUUGCUGAAUAAUGUAUGAAAAUAUUUUCAUACAUUAUUCCUGGAUGAAAAAGCAUUGCAUUUUUUAAUUUUGAAUAAUGUGGAAUAGAUUCUGAAAUUAAUUUGAACAUAAUCAAAAUUAUUGAGGAAAUAAAAAUUUCUGGUUGGGUGCAAUUAUUAAUUCAAAGCCUUGCAUAUUUAUGUUUUUAUUCUGAUAUAUUAUUUUCUUGAAUUAUAUUGAACGUAAAUACAUUCUCAAUUAUACCUGAUAAUGUAUUAUUUUCUGAUUUUAUGGAUCUGAAGUAUUUCGUAUAGAGAAUAGAGCGCAAUGAGCCACGCAUCAUGAAAUUGUUUUUUUUUUUUUAUGUUUAAAAGAAUAUGAAAAUUUGAAUGAAGCGCCCUCGCGAAUGCGAGAAUUAAAAACAAAGUAUUUAAAUCUUCCAUCAAAAUUUUGAGUCUUAUUAUAUAUUAUUGCUAAGAAUAAUAAAAGCCAUAUUUGAUAUUUUGAAAAUCUCUUUAUUUAUUAAGUAUUGUUUAGAGCAUGGCGUCUGCAGAGAAAAGAUUUAUAUUGCCGAAAAGCCUCAUCAAAUACCUCCCACAAUAUUGAACGCACUCGAAAGCCACUUCAACGGAAGCACCAAAAGGCUAGAUCGGAGCGAGCAAUCCAGAAACGGCAAUUAAUGAUUGGCAAUGACAACGCCGUCGCCAUUCUCUCGCUUUCCGCAACGACGUGCCCAUGAUAGACUCCAGAACCAGAAAAACGGUUGAAGAGAUUUUGUGCACUAUGCUUGUCGAAGCUGAUGUCGUAUACAUUGUUGAUGAUUGUUUCAUGAUGCCCGACCAAUUAACUUCCUACAGACAUUUUACAAGCGGUGAAGGAGAACGCUACAGGCACUCUCAAGAUACAGAAACUCUCAGUGCUUGCGCACUAUGAGCUUCUUAGUGUCGCAUUAGAUUGCACCUCGGAACAACUCCGUGAAGCGUGCUCGCGGCACCAUUUUUCAUCUGAACAGGAUGAGAUACCAGCUAGGUACCAAAAUCUACCUUCUUGUAAUUUUACAGUACAGGUCUCUAAAGAAAAUGUCAAUGUUUGGCAGUGAGAAUGAAAGGGCUUUAGCUUCUCUGCGGCAGAGAAAAGGUUCAUCAUCCCUAAAAGCCUGAUCAACUAAUACUUCCUUCAAAUAUUCAUGUGCUUGAAAGCAAUUUGAACGAUAGCACAAGAAACCUCAGGUCGGGUCGAGCCUUGCAGAAAUGUCAGUUGAUCAUCGGGAAUGAAAACGCUGUCGCCAUCCUUACCUUCCGAAACAGCGUUGAUGACAUGGAAUCAAGGCCGCGGUCACGGAAGACGGUGGAACAGGCAUAUUGCACAAUUGGCUCAUCAACACUGAUGUGAUUUACAUCGUAGACGACGAUUUAAUGAUGCCUAAACAGCUACCUGGUGACAUUUUCAGAGCCCUCAAAGAAAAUGCUGUUGGAACUCUGAAAGGGCCAAAACUCUCCAUUUUGGCUCACUUUGAAGCUCUUGGUGUCCCAGUGGACUGGCACUACAAACAAACUCCGAGCUGCUUGCGCUUUGCAUCAUUUCAGCGGAGCAAGAGAUGAUGAUCCAGAAGGUCUUGCAGCUCACAAGGAAAUUGCUAGCUUUGACAUCCCAAUGGAGAAAGUCGGUGCCUCUUUAGCUAUAUUAGGUACCAUUUACAAGGACAUGUGCAACAAAAGCAUGACAACACUUGGCAAGGUAAAGGAAAACAUCAUUCGUCUGUUGGCGUUCAGAAACUUGGAAUUACCAGAGCGGAUGAAUCUUGAGGCGAUGAAGACCCCAGUUAGAGGCGAAAUUGAGGAAUGCGAACACAGUUCGCGUUCUCAAAGACACCGUGUCUAUGCCUAAGAUGCCAAGAGAGAUUCUAGUUUUCCUUGAACAAGAAUGGAAUUGAUGGACUUGACGCUCUGAGCCUGGUGGUUUAUGGGCACAUUCGAGGAUUAGAAGGAAUUGACCUCAGCUCUGACACUGCAACUUUGCUCGCUGCAAUUCGAUCAAAAAUCCAAAGGCCGCCAGGUGGCCAAGGUGCCUCGGGGUGUAGCACCCCUGGUAACAGUGGUACUCAGCAGCCAUCACGAAAACGCAAUAAGCCGAUGAAUACCUUGAGGUCCCUGCCGAAAGAACAGCGUGAGGACGAAGAUGAAGAAAGUGAAGACGAAGAGGAUGAAAAAAGAAGAGAGUGAGUUUGAGGAAGACUUUGAAGAUAAAGAGGAUCACAAUUGCUGAGGGAAAUGACCAGAGCUCUGGAGAAAAGAAAGAACUGUGAUGAUGCUUAUACUAACAAAUUCCCAUAACAGUUGGUUCUAUUAUUAUUUCAUUAGUGAAUAGAGAAUGAUAUGCAAUAUAAUGUUGACCAAAUAAAAAUUCAAAAUGAAUGUGGCUAGAGAAAUUGUUUUUAUUAAAGAAAAAGAUAAAUCAUUCUGUACGUAUGUGAAACCAACCAAAUCUUCAGUUAGUACAUAUUAUUUGGAUGGAUUUUUCAAUACAUAUAUGUUGAAGCAUAAAAAUAAAUAUCUAAUUUUGAUGGCAUAUUUGAUAAC
This is a long non-coding RNA of Neocloeon triangulifer, 4092 nucleotides long. RefSeq lists it as uncharacterized. The transcript has 12 exons. The record is from RefSeq and is a predicted model, not a curated record. Lineage: Eukaryota; Metazoa; Arthropoda; Insecta; Ephemeroptera; Baetidae.